This 253-nucleotide ribosomal RNA is filed under the name uncultured bacterium. RNAcentral's name for it is "partial 16S ribosomal RNA". It matches the Rfam family "Bacterial small subunit ribosomal RNA", at positions 524 to 776 of the family's 1533-position model. The record is from RNAcentral.
UACAGAGGUGGCAAGCGUUGUUCGGAAUUACUGGGCGUAAAGGGCGAGUAGGCGGCCUUCUAAGUCAGACGUGAAAUCCCCCGGCUUAACCUGGGAACUGCGUCUGAUACUGGGAGGCUCGAGUAUGGGAGAGGGAUGUAGAAUUCCAGGUGUAGCGGUGAAAUGCGUAGAUAUCUGGAGGAAUACCGGUGGCGAAGGCGGCAUCCUGGACCGGUAUUGACGCUGAGGCGCGAAAGCCAGGGGAGCAAACGGG